CACACCGCCCGUCACACCACGAAAGCUGUGUGUACCCGAAGUCGCUGAGCUAACCCGCAAGGGAGGCAGGCGCCGAAGGUAUGCGGGGUGAUUGGGGUG
This 99-nucleotide ribosomal RNA is filed under the name uncultured bacterium. Its description in RNAcentral is "partial 16S ribosomal RNA". It matches the Rfam family "Bacterial small subunit ribosomal RNA", at positions 1386 to 1482 of the family's 1533-position model. The record is from RNAcentral.